Long non-coding RNA from Nothobranchius furzeri (turquoise killifish), 6616 nucleotides. RefSeq lists it as uncharacterized. NCBI's taxonomy places the organism in Eukaryota, Metazoa, Chordata, Actinopteri, Cyprinodontiformes, Nothobranchiidae. The record is from RefSeq and is a predicted model, not a curated record.
UACUCGAGAACCAUGGGAUAUGUCUGAGGGAGACAGAAAAAGGAGAGAAAUCCGUUUUCAGGUUUAAAAUCCAAACGGCACAGAGAAACCACAUGGCUGCUCUAGUAAUAAUAAUAAUAAUGCAUUGAACUUAUAUAGCGCUUUUCAAGUGUGGGAACAUUACACACUGGACCAUCACAGCAGAAGGCUCUGUGUUCAGCUCACAUCAGUUUAUUCAGUAGAAACUCAGAUCUAAACUUUAGUUUGAACCAAAGCAAAACGUGUGCUGCAGUUUGACUGGCAAAGAUGAAACUGUUAAAUAUUAGGAUAUAGUGCAACAGUUCAUUUAUGUCAGUAAAUCAACCUAAAAGGUGGAACUAAUCUAUGAGACAGACUCAUGCAUGCAAACCCAGAUACUUCCGCCCUUAUUUGUUGUAAUUGUGAUGAUUAAGGCUUAGUUUAUGAAAACCCCACUUUCAAAAUCUCAGACAAUUAGAAUAUUGUGAAAAGGUUCAAAAUUCUAGACUCAAAGUGUCACAUUCUAAUCAGCUAAUGAAUCCAGAAGGGUUCCUGAGCUUUUAGGUGGUCUCUCAGUCUGAGCUGGAUUACUGGCAUUAAUGGACUUUUGCUCCAUAUUCUCACUUUUACUGUUACACCUGUAAGCUGCUGUUAGUUAGCUCAGCCCACCACCUUUAUAUGACAUAAAGAAAUGGUUUGGUUGGUUGGACAACCCGUCUACUACCCAGUGGGUAAAAAAUAAUCCAGAGACCUAUGAGGGACCCUGGACCGGUUGUUGGGGACCACUGAAUUAAAGGUGAGCAGCAAUUUAUUUGUGAAAACUCAAACUGAUUUGGUCAACCCCAAUCCGUGUAUAGUUUGUUCUAUUUUUGAUUGAAAAAUAAAAGGAAAAUUUAAUUUUUUUUGUUUGUUUUAUCAACAGAUUUUUUUUUAAUCGUGUUUUUCGUAUUUUCUAUUUUAGCCUCUGAUCAAAAAGGAAAAAUGGCUGUAGGACCGAAUUUGGUUUUAAUAUUUAAUUUCUUGGGUUCAUGUAGGGCUGGGCGAUAUGGACCAAAACGUAUAUCUCGAUAUCUUUUAGCUGAAUUUCCGAUAUAUAUAUAUAUAUCUCGAUAUUCUUCCUCCUGUAAAAUAUUUACAAGUUAACUCACUUCAAGCUGUCUUGAGAAAUUAUAAACAUAAAUCAGUAGAUUAAAUGCAUAAAAAUGUAUUGAUUCUUGCCAAACUUUAACCUUAGUACCUAUUCUCAACCAGUCUGAGCUUUAGAAACACUGGUAGAGCUGUCUGCUAACACACACACACACACACACACACACACACACACACACACACACACACACACACACACACACACACACACACACACACACACACAGUAGAGAGCUAGAGGUGUAUAAAAUGUCCCACAGGCACUUUUAAAAUAUGUAUUUAUAAUUAAUGUAAAAUUAUUAAAAUUUAAUCUACAGGUUGGCCGUUUCCAUAAUUUCUUGUCCCAAGAAAAAUAUCAAUCAUGUUAAACUAAAUUUAUGAUGAUGUAAUUGCAUCUACUGAAGAUCACAUGGGUCAUGCACUGUGGAGUUAUCAGGGCAAACAUGGCUGGAGUCUAACAGUGUUGGCUCAUAUCAGCGAUUAUACUGUAAUGACUCAGAGUCUCUGGUUGCUCUUUUAUCAGUAUUAUUUUUGGGCUACUGUCGCCGUAACCCACGCCUUACAAACUCUUUAACUUUUUCAACAGAAUUGCUCGUAACGGAGUAUUUACUAGCAUAGCAAACCAGAGCGGAAAAUAAUGGAACAACAUUUCUCACCUGUUGAACUAGCCUUCAAAAUGAUUAGUUACCCCUAUAGUUUACUAUGCAAACCCUUACUAUAUGUCUGAGGUAAUUUGGCCACUCCGGCAACACAUUCUCACACCCAAAGUGUCGAAAAAUUAUGCGUGUGACCAAGCGUCAAAAUAUGACGAUUCAGGGUGCCCCAGCGCGUCAGGAGAGGACGCGCUGUCCCAGAGCGUUGGUGUCCGACACUUGCGGUUACACAGACAUUUGACCGAGUUGUGACCUACUUAACCUUCCCCUCACCCCCAUUCUAACCUUAACCAGCUUAUGCAUGCAAAGCUUAAUUGAAAAUUACUGAGUUAAGGUUAGGAUGGGGGUGAGGGGAAGGUUAAAUCGCUAGACGUUCGAGGUGAAAUGUCCGUGUCACAGCGGGCGUCUAACCCUAACCCUAACGCACAGCCAAAACAUCACGUGUGAUCUCGUGAGAAAACAUCCUUUACAAAAAACAGGUCAGAAAGCACUAGCAUGGCCUAAAACACUAUGUAUGUAUGUAUGUAUGGUAGUAACAGGUGAUGACUCCUUUAAUUGUGAAGAAUCAGAAAAUGGCGGAAUGUAGCGUCUUAGACAAGACAGUCAGGAAUCAGCUCAGUGUGACACUGGGACAAUGGAUUACACAAACUAAGUGUUUUUUAAACUAUAAAACAGAUUAUUAUGACCAUAAACCAGUAAAUGUAAGACUGAAUUUAAGCUUUUAACUUCAUGAAACUAGCUUUGUUUGUUUUGCUGCUGAGUUCCUUGAGUUUUGCAAGUAGAGUAAUGGUACUUUUCUAUUUGUAAAGAGGAGAGUCUGGGCUUUAAUUUAAAUGGCUGCUUCUGUGGAAAGGAUAAUGUUGCAUUGGUGCUACUGUGUUUUUCUCGAUUUUUUAUUGUCCUUAUUGUCAGUGGGAGUUGUAGAGGUAGAAAGGGUGCAUUUUAUGGUGUAGAUGAGCCUCUUCCCAUUAAGUACAUGUGCAGUUUGCAUAUAUCAUUGGUUAACAUUAAGAAUGUUUUUGACACAACUUUGUUGCCGGAAGUGCUCACUGACCCGGUACAGGGCCUGUCAAGUUCAAGUUGUGUGACGCAUAAUGGUAAUUUGAUGUCCCCUAGUGGUGAUAUGUGGUUAGUGCAUCUGAAAACAAAUGGCAAAAAAAAAUUUGAAUGUGAUCUCAGGAGUUAUAUCCUUGACAUUUUUAAUACCUUCCGGAAUGAGUUGUUUUAGGGCUCUGUCACUUUAAUGCUAAAAAACUGUUUGUUAUGGAAAUUUUAUGUUUAUCAUUUCUUGAUCAUUGAUUCAUGUAAUAUGUAUUUCUCUAUGCCUAAAUGCAUGCUCAUUUAUUCAGACACACCCACACUCACACAGACAUUUCCACACACACACACAUUUUCUUAUCUCAUGUUAUAAAUAAACUGAGAAUUCAGGAGCUCGGGGCAGUAGCCUUGUAGCUUCUGCCUCCUCAUUGCAAUCUGGAUACUUGUCUGUCAUUUGUUUAUUUUUCUCUGGUUGCAGGCACUGGGUUGUUGAUAAAAUCCUUGACAUUAUUUGGUCCUUCGAGCCGAGGCCCCGGUUUCCUCUCGAUGCCAAAAACCACCACCGGAUACCUGCCGCGACACCUCCAAAAGCCUCCAGUGCUGGCUUUCACUGGAGGUCGGUGCUUGGAUCUUGACGUAGCUGCAGGGAACCAUAUGGAUCAACGAACUCAAGGCCUGCGCCGAGAGAUCUGGUGAGACAAGUUGUUUGUUGUUUGUUUUGUGGUGCUGAGAGAAAUCCUCGGUGACUAAAGAUUCAAAUUUUGAUGACGUCCGCCGUGAAUAGGGUGGUUUUGACAGGUUCUUUGAAUGCUGUCUGUAUUGGCUUGGUUUUCUGCAUUUUAGCCGAAAUUAGAAAUGCAACUCUGGUGUAAGAAAUGAAGUAGACCGGUGUGGUAACUAUGAGAUUAUAAAGUGUUGCAUUGAUUCUGCUGAAAACCUACCCUUUCUGACACACAAUAGACAUCUCACGUAUGUUUCUACAUUUUUGUCGCAGUCACAUGUUGAAAUAGUGCGCUGUGGUAGCUUGAAACCUGCUUCGCUCUUACCUACUGACAUAGAUGGAGAACAACAUUGCUGCAAAACACUCACCAAUGAAAUGACAAAACCAUGUGUUGACAUUUUAGACAUUCCUUAGCCUGACUGCAUCUCUCUUUAUGUUGAUGGGUCGGCUACUAAAGAUGCUUCUGGAAAAAACCUGGUUGGUUAUGCAGUGACCACUCAAACAUCAGUUAUGGAGGCUAAACCAUUGCCCUCUCAUUGCUCUGCCCAGGUAGCUGAACUGGUGGCUGUGACUAGAGCCUGCCAGCUGCUCUCAGGACAAGACAUAAGCAUUUUCACUGAUAGUAUGUGUAUGCUUCAGUGCACCACUUUGUCCAGAUUUGGAAAAACAAGGGCAUGGUCACAUCCACUGGUAAACAGCUGACUCACGCUUCAAGGCUCUUGGAGCUGUUGGAAGCUGUACAACUCCCAUGCAAAUUGUCUCAGUGCAAAUGCCCUGCACAUCAGACAGACGACUCUGACAUCACGAGAGGCAAUAAUUUUGCAGAUAAAGCAGCUAAAUCUGCGGCCCUCAUGCCGCCCACCCUUGGAGCUUCAUGCUACUGCUCUGACACAAUCUCACGUGACAUCCUACACGAGGCUCAGACUUCUGCUCCCGAUCAGGAACAGCGGUCCUGGCUUAGAUUUAAACCUGUGAAUAUUGAUAUGUGUUGCAUGUAAAUAACAAACCUAUUUUGCCUAAGUCUUUGUUUCCCACUGCUGUCCUUAUGAGUCAUGGGUUGACCCAUGUCUCAAAGGGGGGGAUGUGUCAGUUAAUCAAUAUUAAUAUUCCACAAUAUUAAUUUUUCUACUUUUGCUAAUUACGUUUGCUGAAAAUGUUUAAUCUGCAUGAAAAACAACACUCAAGGGCAUUUAAGACCAAAACGGGGACAAUUUCCAACACCUGCUUAUCCAUUUCACACAAUACACAUGGACUUUAUUGAACUAUCACAGAUGCAAGGAACAAGAUAUUGCUUGGUGGUAAUAGAUGCUUUAUCCAAGUGGCCAGAAAUAUAUCCUACAAAGAAAAACGAUGCUUUAACAGUGGCAAAGGUGUUGUUUUUUCCCCACUUAUGGAAUCCCAUCGUUUAUUAGAUGAGAUAAUGGGAUAUAUUUUGUGAAUGAGGUAUUGACCAGGUGCUCUGAAACCUUAGGGUUUGAGCUGAAACAUUGUUCUUAUCACCCAUCUUCAGCUGGCUUAGUUGAACGUACGAACGGGACAAUUAAAAAUAGGCUGGCUAAAACAGUGGCUGAGACAGGACGUCCAUGGCCAGAGAGCCUAUCAUUAGUAAAACUGUGGAUGAGGGUAACGGCUCCCUCUGGUGGACCAACACCAUUUGAGUGGUUUAUGGAAGAAGAUUCCUUUUUCCCUACAUCACGGAUCCUGUGGUUCACAGUGACAGAGAAAAUACUUUGGCAGAUUGGAUGGUUUAACUGUUUACUGAUAAACAAGUCAAGAUAAACAAUGAUCUCCCAGAACCCUCUUGUGCUUUUUCGCCCACACAGGUCGUGAAACCAGGAAAUUGGGUUCUGAUCAAGGUGCUGAAACGAGACAACUGGCGCUGCCCGAGGUGGGAAGGCCCGUUCCAAGUUCUCCUAACCACCCCCACUGCCGUGAAAAUUGCUGAGAGGCCAUCUUGGAUUCAUCUAUCCUACUGCAAGCUCAUCGAUGUCAACUAACUGCAUUUAGGGCACAAUGAAGUCCGGCUGCAAAGGGGUGGGCCACCACUAGGGUGCCACGUCUCAAACCCGGUGAAGAUGUAGGUCCGCUUCAAGAUCAUUGGUUUCACCACAUUGUUGAUGUUGGUGGUCGCAGUGAACCCUGCCAUCGGAACAUCAAGCACGCUUCAAAAAUCGUUUGGAUCGCCUGCGGCGCUUCAGGCAGAGGUGCUAUGGUGUCUGAACACUGCCGUGCAGCACCACUCCUACGCAUCCAAUGAAGGUGUUUCGGAGUUGUUCCAGGCAAUGUUUUCGGAUACUGAAAUAGCUAAAUCUUUCAACUGAGGAAAGGACAAGACAAGCUACGUUUUAAAGUUUGGACUCGCCCCACAUGUCAAAAAAGAACUGAUUUCUGCAGCUACCAACGCUGGACCAUUUGUGCUGAUGUUUGAUGAAAGCUUCAACCAGUCCACAAAAAAUAAACAACUAGACGUCCAUAUUCGAUUUUGGGAGGCUGGUGCUGUCCAGUCACGUUAUCUUGGAUCACAGUUUGUGGGCCAUUCAAAGGCUAAAGAUUUGCUGCACCAUUUCAAAGAUUGUGUGUGUCUGCUAGACAUGAAGAACCUCCUUUCCAUCAGUAUGGAUGGGCCAAAUGUGAACUUGAAGUUUUUAAAUGAUUUCCAGCAAGAGCAUGCUGAACUACAUGGAGGCCGCCAAUUAAUUAAUGUUGGAAGCUGUGGACUGCACACUCUGCACAAUUCAUUCAAGACUGGCUUCUCCACAUGGAAUAUUGAGAAACUGUUAAGAGCAAUGUCCCUGCGAGAAGAGAAGAUUUUACAAAACUUACAGGCUCAUCUCUUUUUCCACUCCCAUUCUGUGGACACAGAUGGGUGGAAAAUCUUCCUGUUGCAGAGAGAGCUAUUGAAGUAUGGCCAAAGCUUAAAGAUGUGAAGGCAGUCCAUAGAAAAGAACUCCCAAACCCUGGAACCUCUUCUUUUGACACUAUUCAAGCAGCAAAUGAAGAUCCCCUGAUUUCAGCCAAACUUCCGUUUUUCAUGGCAAUCUCCAGAACGUUUAGUCCAUUU